This is an RNA transcript of Hordeum vulgare subsp. vulgare (domesticated barley), 2092 nucleotides long. It is a transcript of the gene named fructose-bisphosphate aldolase-lysine N-methyltransferase, chloroplastic, with no coding region annotated. Lineage: Eukaryota; Viridiplantae; Streptophyta; Magnoliopsida; Poales; Poaceae. The transcript is spliced from 13 exons. The record is from RefSeq and is a predicted model, not a curated record.
UGUCACUUGUCCGUGAUGAUCUUUGCUUGGAAAAUAUGGCUCCACCUGUCGCGCCUUUCCCUCAUCCACACCAACCGGUCGUCCGAAGCUCGAGCGCCACCCAUGGCCUCCUCCGCCUUGUCCGGCACCCACCAUCGCCUCCUUCUCCCCUGUUUCCUGCGCCGCCUCCCUCAGCCCGGUUCGCGCUCGUGCUCCCGCCUCCGCCUCGCCGCCUGCCACGCCGACACCCUCCUUUCCUCCUCCGGGGCCCAGGGGCCGCCCUCCCCCGCGGCGUGCUUGUCCGCAUCCUCCGCUGGCGGGUUCUCUGACUGGCUACUCACGAAUGGCCUGCCGCCGGGCAAGUUGGCCAUCCUGGAGCGCCCCGUCCCGUGCUCUCGCGGGGGCAGAGACCGGCCAUUACACUUCGUCGCUGCUGGGCAGGACCUCGAGGCGGGGGAUGUGGCUUUCGAGGUGCCCAUGUCGCUCGUUGUCACGCUGGAGCGGGUUCUCGGCGACGAGUCCGUCGCUGAAUUGUUAACGACAAACAAAUUGUCUGAGCUGGCAUGCUUGGCAUUGUAUCUCAUGUAUGAGAAGAAGCAAGGAAGAGAUUCACUUUGGUACCCGUAUAUUAAAGAACUUGAUCGUCAGCGAGGCAGGGGGCAGCUAGCUGUUGAAUCACCUCUUUUAUGGACUGAAAGUGAAUUGGAUUACCUGAAUGGCAGCCCCAUGAGGGAUGAAGUUGUUGUCAGAGAUGAGGGAAUAAAAAAAGAGUAUAAUGAGCUUGACACAUUGUGGUUCAUGGCAGGUUCAUUGUUUAAGCAAUACCCUUUUGAUGUGCCUACUGAGGCAUUUCCGUUUGAGAUCUUCAAGCAGGCAUUUGUUGCGGUACAGUCUUGCGUGGUUCAUUUGCAGAAGGUUAGUUUAGCACGAAGAUUUGCACUAGUUCCCUUGGGCCCACCACUAUUGACGUACAAGAGCAACUGCAAAGCAAUGCUGACAGCUGUUGAUGGUUCUGUUCGAUUGCUGGUUGAUCGGCCAUACAAAGCAGGAGAACCAAUAAUCGUUUGGUGUGGGCCACAACCAAACUCCAGGUUGCUUCUCAAUUAUGGUUUUGUUGAUGAGGACAAUCCAUAUGACCGCAUAGCAAUCGAGGCAUCCCUAAACACUGAAGAUCCUCAAUACCAAGAGAAGAGAAUGGUUGCUCAAAGAAAUGGAAAGCUUGCAAUCCAAAAAUUCCAAGUCUGUGUAGGCAAAGAGAAGGAAACUAUUUCUGAAAUGCUGCCAUACUUGAGACUAGGAUACAUUUCAGAUCCAGAUGAAAUGCAAUGUAUACUUUCGUCGGAAGGUGAUACAUGUCCAGUUAGUCCUUGCUCAGAGCGAGCUGUACUGGACCAACUUGUUGUGUACCUGAAAUCAAGAUUGGCUGGUUAUCCGACUAAUUUGGAUGAGGAUGAAGCAAUGUUGGCCGAUGGCAGUUUGGAACCAAAGAAAGAAGUUGCUACUAGACUUGUAAGGUUAGAGAAGAAAAUGCUGCAUGGCUGUCUUGAGGCUGCUAACGAGUUCAUAAGUGGCUUGCCUGAUCAUACCGUGUCACCUUGCCCUGCACUAUAUGCUCCUGAAUUGAAAUAAGAAGACACUUCAAUGAUGGGCUUGUUCAUGCUGAAUGCACAAAGACAGAAAGUUCUGGCACAAAUGGCUUUGUGAAAAUGCUCGACACACCUUGGUCUGAUCAAGAAAUGGGGAACAAGAGACCAUCAGCAACGCCUCAUGUAUCUAUUGUGAUUCCAAGUUGUGUACCAUGUAUAUCAUGGCGGAUGGGGUCUCCUCCCCAUCAAACAAUGCAACUGUUGGGUGGAUGGCAGCAUGGCGUCAUGACAGCAGAGACCACCUGUCUCUCUGGCGACAGGAAAGGAGGCCAACACAUAACCAGCUUAGAUCAUUGAAGCAUUGGUGUUGGAGAGGUUUGGGAACUUCAAGUGCUACAUAAGUGAACCCAAAUAUUUUGAUGGUUUAUGUAUCCGAGUUAAUUGCAUAAAACUACCACAAUUGAGGCUAGGUUAACAAAUUGGUACCACCUUUUUUUUCUUUCAAAUCAGUACCGGUUCUGUGUCUA